This 132-nucleotide small RNA is filed under the name Serratia proteamaculans. Its description in RNAcentral is "yybP-ykoY". It matches the Rfam family "Manganese Mn2+ riboswitch aptamer (yybP-ykoY)", at positions 1 to 121 of the family's 177-position model. From Rfam's summary of the family: This RNA was originally discovered in E. coli during a large scale screen and was named SraF. The family was later found to exist upstream of related families of protein genes in many bacteria, including the the yybP and ykoK genes in B. subtilis. The record is from RNAcentral. Lineage: Bacteria; Pseudomonadati; Pseudomonadota; Gammaproteobacteria; Enterobacterales; Yersiniaceae.
UGCGCCGUCAUUGGGGAGUAGCCGGUUUCUGGACAAUAAAACGCCAGAAACGCCCGUAUCAACAUACUCGUUUUAUACAUUAAAACGUGGUGCGGGCAGCCAGGUAAGGUUGGCGAGACCAUAGACACGUAA